This 3267-nucleotide ribosomal RNA is filed under the name Spodoptera frugiperda (fall armyworm). Its description in RNAcentral is "eukaryotic LSU rRNA". The stretch from base 1924 to 3267 matches the Rfam family "Eukaryotic large subunit ribosomal RNA". The record is from RNAcentral. Lineage: Eukaryota; Metazoa; Arthropoda; Insecta; Lepidoptera; Noctuidae.
GCGGAUGCGGUGCACCGACAGCGCGGCGCACAAAUGCAACUACGAGCUUUUUAACCGCAACAAUUUUAGUAUACGCUAUUGGAGCUGGAAUUACCGCGGCUGCUGGCACCAGACUUGCCCUCCAAUUGUUCCUCGUUAAAAUAUUUAAAGUGUACUCAUUCCGAUUACGAGGCCUCGUAAGAGUCCCGUAUCGUUAUUUUUCGUCACUACCUCCCCGUGCCGGGAGUGGGUAAUUUGCGCGCCUGCUGCCUUCCUUGGAUGUGGUAGCCGUUUCUCAGGCUCCCUCUCCGGAAUCGAACCCUGAUUCCCCGUUACCCGUGACAACCAUGGUAGUCGCAGAAACUACCAUCGAAAGUUGAUAAGGCAGACAUUUGAAAGAUGCGUCGCCGGUACUGGACCAUGCGAUCGGCAAAAGUUAUCCAGAUUCAUCAAAAUUAACGACUUCGGACGCGAGGCCCUCCGUCGAUUGGUUUUGAUCUAAUAAAAGCACUCAUCCCAUCACUGGUCAGAGUUCUGAUUGCAUGUAUUAGCUCUAGAAUUACCACAGUUAUCCAAGUAACUGAGUAAGAUCUAAGGAACCAAAACUGAUAUAUUGAGCCAUUCGCGGUAUCGCCUUAAUACGGCUUGCACUGAGACAUGCAUGGCUUAAUCUUUGAGACAAGCAUAUAACUACUGGCAGGAUCAACCAGGGAGCUUCUUUGUUGAGAGUUGAAGCCGGAGCGCGCGCGCGCGCGUGCGCGAACUCACGCACACACACGCACACACGCACGCACCGGCACACAAUACUCGACGACCCCGAAGCGCACGCGAUCUUUUUAAGGAAACGCGAAACGCACUGGGGCGAGCUCGAAAAUUCGGAUUGUUGUUUGUUUCGCGGCACGCGAACGUCUCUACGCGUAUAUCUCAACGCGAUGAAGAGACGCGCUGCGGUCGCACUGAGGACGCUACGUCUCGGCGGCGAGGCCGAGACGACAGGCCCCUUUAUGGAACGUUCGUACCGAGACGAUUUCACGUUUGUAUAAGAUCAGCUUACACAAUCGUUGAAACCAUACACGAUUCCGCCCGGUGGUUGUAGAGCGCCUCACCCAUGCGGCGAACACAAUAUAUUAUUGCAAUGAUCGAACGUGACGAGGGCGUCGACGGGCAACACGUCGCGCGUCCGAGCGCCGGCGUUGUCGUACCGUCGCCACGUUCAUAAUGUUUACUAAGUUCGACCGAUUAUAACGGACACGAGCACAUACACGUUCCGUCGGCCGGCACAGUUCAAUAAGAGAAACGAUAGAGAGCGUGGUUUGGUAGUCUGCGAACACGCGUUACAUAUAAAUACAUAACGACACAUUCUCGUGUUUUCCGCUCUUCGCUUCGAACGCACAAUCCGCACAUAAACAACACAACACCGUUGUGUAUUAUUAAGUGUUAAAAGCGCGACAAAACGAAAAUUUCGAAAAACAUCGGACACCGCACCACACAUCACAUCAUCUCGCACAUCACACGUCGCCACACUCCGCGAAUCACAUCAUAUACACACAUACGUAUUGUACACAUAUUCAUCGCGUCGCGUGACAACGAAGCGAACGCAAGAAUCGAUGCGAUCGCCUCUCGCCAUCUGACUGUACGCUGAUCUUCACUCACACACGAGCGCCGCGUCGCGUGUCGAGCGGGAAGGGGUUGCGGCGGCGCGCGCGGGGGGGUGUACGUCUUGCGGUGCGCUCGCUGGCCGGGGGGGGGGGGGUGUCGUGUGCCUGCCUGACAACAUUACGCGCGCGCAGGGGGGGGGGGGUUGGGGGGUGCGCGCGCGAGCCGCCCAGCACCCACCGCGCUUACGCACACACGCUUACUCACACGGUACAUACAUACGUACUAGUGUAACUAGUNUUGAUCUUGUUAGAUCAUAGUUUGUCUGUCUAACUUAAAAGCUAGAAUGGACCCUAAAUGUUGAAAGUAUUCAUCGAUUUACUUCUAUCAAUAGUAUAUAGUUAAUGAUUUGAGAUAGUAUGUGUAUUGGGAGAAUUUGUUUCCGUAUCAUCGUGCCACGUAUGAGACGAGGCAACGUUUGUAAGUAUGUAAGAGAGAAAACCUUGUUUGGAGAAGACGGCCCUCUGCAUCUUUCUUAAGUAAAAGGGCUCCGUGAUAGUGUUUCAUGUUGUGGUUCUUUAAUGCCAAGCAAGCGCGGGUAAACGGCGGGAGUAACUAUGACUCUCUUAAGGUAGCCAAAUGCCUCGUCAUCUAAUUAGUGACGCGCAUGAAUGGAUUAACGAGAUUCCCACUGUCCCUAUCUACUAUCUAGCGAAACCACAGCCAAGGGAACGGGCUUGGGAGAAUCAGCGGGGAAAGAAGACCCUGUUGAGCUUGACUCUAGUCUGGCAUUGUAAGGAGACAUGAGAGGUGUAGCAUAAGUGGGAGAUCGUUCGCGCGAUCGUCGCUGAAAAACCACUACUUUCAUUGUUUCAUUACUUACUCGGUUGGGCGGAAGCGGUGCGCGGUCGAUAAUAUCGGCGGGCGCACGGUGUUUCGUUCCAAGCGUGCAGAGUGGCGACGUGGCGGCAACGCUCGUCGCCGUACAACUCCCGCGUGAUCCGGUUCGAGGACACUGCCAGGCGGGUAGUUUGACUGGGGCGGUACAUCUGUCAAAGAAUAACGCAGGUGUCCUAAGGCCAGCUCAGCGAGGACAGAAACCUCGCGUGGAGCAAAAGGGCAAAAGCUGGCUUGAUCCAGAUGUUCAGUACGCAUAGGGACUGCGAAAGCACGGCCUAUCGAUCCUUUAGUAUAAAGAGUUUUUAGCAAGAGGUGCCAGAAAAGUUACCACAGGGAUAACUGGCUUGUGGCAGCCAAGCGUUCAUAGCGACGUUGCUUUUUGAUCCUUCGAUGUCGGCUCUUCCUAUCAUUGCGAAGCAAAAUUCGCCAAGCGUUGGAUUGUUCACCCAUCAAAAGGGAACGUGAGCUGGGUUUAGACCGUCGUGAGACAGGUUAGUUUUACCCUACUGAUGGCUUGUCGUUGCGAUAGUAAUACUGCUCAGUACGAGAGGAACCGCAGUUUCGGACAUUUGGUUCAUGCACUCGGCCGAGCGGCCGGUGGUGCGAAGCUACCAUCCGCGGGAUUAUGCCUGAACGCCUCUAAGGCCGAAGCCAGCCUAGCCGAAUCCGGCAAGGAUAUGCUCACUGUGGAGCCCCGAGAGUCGGGAGGCUCUAAACAAUGUGACUUUACUAGUCGCGCUUCACCACGUGAGGUGCGACGUCGAAGCCCAUUUGGAUCGCGGAGAUCGAUGC